Molecule: transfer RNA, 74 nt
Filed under: Omnitrophica WOR_2 bacterium GWA2_45_18
Lineage: Bacteria; Pseudomonadati; Candidatus Omnitrophota
Also listed under: 2 other names
Description: tRNA-Val
Rfam family: tRNA
About the family: Transfer RNA (tRNA) molecules are approximately 80 nucleotides in length.
Source: RNAcentral
GGGCGUAUAACUCAGUUGGUUAGAGUAUCGCCUUCACAUGGCGGAAGUCAGAGGUUCGAGUCCUCUUACGCCCA